Long non-coding RNA from Lepidothrix coronata (blue-crowned manakin), 1250 nucleotides. RefSeq lists it as uncharacterized. Lineage: Eukaryota; Metazoa; Chordata; Aves; Passeriformes; Pipridae. The transcript has 6 exons. The record is from RefSeq and is a predicted model, not a curated record.
CACAUGGUCCCGAGAGCUGGGAGACAACAAACAGCGCUUAGUGACGGGAAUUACAGCGUGGAUUCUCUCGGCUCAGGGACAAUGCGGCCCCCUCGCCUCAGGGGGGGCCGUGAGGGGACAGCCCCGGUGCCUGCCCUGCCAUGUGGGCCCUGCGGGGACACCCCCUGAUAGACGGGGACCGUGAAGGGACAGCCACUGUUCCCUCCCUUCUCCGAGGGUCGUGAGGCGACAUCCUGACUCCAGUCGGUCGUGAGGGGACACCCCUCUUUCCGCCCUUCCACGGGGGUCGUGAGGAGACACCUUGCAGGAAAAUAUAAGAGAACGUGAGGAAUUAAAUGAAUCAGUUGGAAGAUGGGAGAUCAAAUGCAAGAGAAGUUGGGAGCCUGAUCCUCAGGCCAGAGUCUGUCCUGAAUUGCACUGCUACAAGCUGAAGAGAACAGAAUUCCAUUCUAAGAAUGCAGGUUCUUGGUGGAUACACUAAAUCUACUUGAAGAACCUUAUGCUCCUUAUGGUGACUCGGACACCUCCUUAUCCAGCAGCCUCCAGGCAGCCUGAGCCAUCCUGGAUGAUGAUUAUGAUCUUCAAGAUUCCUUCCAACCCAGGCCAUCUUUGUGAUCCCUGGGCAUACAGAACCAUCAGCUUUGGAAGGAGCUGGAUGCCAACGGUUGUGUGCAUCCAGGAGCUCAGAGGAAUCAGCAAAUCUCCUCCAGCAGAGCUACGAAUCCCCAGUCCAGUUCAUUCAGGCGCAGCGGGACCGCCGGGAAUUAAUCCGAGGGGGAAUGCUGUGAAUUCCUGCGCUCUCUUUCUUUGCUGGGCGCAGCUGGUGGCGGGGCCACUGCCAGAUGAAAGCAGGGCUGUCAGCUCCCAGCAGCUUGGCUCCAGCUGCAUUCCAGGGCACGGACUGGCCUCAGCUGGUCCUCGGGUGCCGCUUCCCUCUGCCAGGUUACCGAGCCCUGGGGUCUCGGAGUGCAGGUGAACACUGCUCACCUGUUUACUCCUCUGGAGAGGUGAGGAAUGAUCAGAAUAUGCAACUCCUUCUGCACAGUGGAGGAAUUAUUUACUGCAGAUACAGACUGACAAUAAAUUAGUACACCCCCAAGAGUCUGGAAGGAACAGAGGAGGAGCAGUGAGUCACUCCUGAGUCAUAGAGCCUCCCCGGAUUUAUCCUGGGAUGAUGUACUGCACGCACCACUCCUUGAUCUGGUCUGUCUCGAAAGGACAACCCUGAAUAUAAUUGUGGAAAAAUAAAU